CGGCGCAUGGUGUAGGGGAUCUGCGCACUCGGCCGAUACCCGAGAGGUCCUGGUUCGACUCCAGGUGCGCCGA
This 73-nucleotide transfer RNA is filed under the name Gemmataceae bacterium. Its description in RNAcentral is "tRNA-Ile". It matches the Rfam family "tRNA". From Rfam's summary of the family: Transfer RNA (tRNA) molecules are approximately 80 nucleotides in length. Their secondary structure includes four short double-helical elements and three loops (D, anti-codon, and T loops). Lineage: Bacteria; Pseudomonadati; Planctomycetota; Planctomycetia; Gemmatales; Gemmataceae. The record is from RNAcentral.